CCACUUACCUCUGUCGGCAAAAUCUAAGCCGUCCAUUUGUAUCAAUCUGUUACAUUUAAUGUAUCCCCUCGCCUAUAAAAGGCAAGCCCAUCUUUUAGAGAAGGCAUCCGAAAAUUUCCUACUAUAAGAAAUUCUCUCUGCCCAUUCUCUCUCAUGUAUAAACGUUGUAAUGUUUUCUGAAGUUUCAAUAAAUCUUUGUAAGUUUAAAUUCUUGGCUUAUUUAAUUCUUAA
RNAcentral lists this long non-coding RNA (231 nucleotides) under Capsicum annuum. RNAcentral's name for it is "long non-coding RNA (CANN_LNC018133)". The record is from RNAcentral. Lineage: Eukaryota; Viridiplantae; Streptophyta; Magnoliopsida; Solanales; Solanaceae.